GCUUCUCCUGUAUAACAGUGGUCACCAACUGGUCAAUCCUGAUCAACCGGUCAAUUGGGGAACCCCUGACAGUCAAUCUCAACUG
Molecule: long non-coding RNA, 85 nt
Organism: Gavialis gangeticus (Gharial)
Lineage: Eukaryota; Metazoa; Chordata; Crocodylia; Gavialidae
Exons: 3
Source: RefSeq, a predicted model, not a curated record